CUGUAAUGUUGUGUUGUCAUUUUAAUGUUAUAUUUCACAUAGCCAUAAAAUAGGGAGGUUUGGCAUGCCACAAAACCAGGUUCAACCCACCAUUUUUUCCUUUAAAAAUGUCUUGUACCAAGUCAGGAAUAUGGCCAUUGUUAUAUUAUAGUUCGUUUCUGUGUGUGUUACAUUUUAACGUUGUGUUUCCGUUGUGUCGUUU
Molecule: long non-coding RNA, 202 nt
Filed under: Mytilus galloprovincialis (Mediterranean mussel)
Lineage: Eukaryota; Metazoa; Mollusca; Bivalvia; Mytilida; Mytilidae
Source: RNAcentral